GAUGAAGAACGCAGCGAAAUGCGAUACGUAAUGUGAAUUGCAGAAUUCAGUGAAUCAUCGAGUCUUUGAACGCACAUUGCGCCCCCUGGUAUUCCGGGGGGCAUGCCUGUCCGAGCGUCAUUGCUGCCCUCAAGCAGGGCUUGUGUGUUGGGCCUCCGUCCUCCUCCCGGGGGACGGGCCCGAAAGGCAGCGGCGGCACCGCGUCCGGUCCUCGAGCGUAUGGGGCUUCGUCACCCGCUCUUGUAGGCCCGGCCGGCGCUUGCCGACACAUCAAUCUUUUUUCCAGGUUGACCUCGGAUCAGGUAGGGAUACCCGCUGAACUUAAGCAUAUCAAUAAGCGGAGGA
RNAcentral lists this unclassified non-coding RNA (345 nucleotides) under soil metagenome. Its description in RNAcentral is "partial contains 5.8S ribosomal RNA, internal transcribed spacer 2, and large subunit ribosomal RNA". The stretch from base 1 to 120 matches the Rfam family "5.8S ribosomal RNA", at positions 35 to 154 of the family's 154-position model. The record is from RNAcentral.